This is a long non-coding RNA of Mauremys reevesii (Reeves's turtle), 648 nucleotides long. RefSeq lists it as uncharacterized. The record is from RefSeq and is a predicted model, not a curated record. NCBI's taxonomy places the organism in Eukaryota, Metazoa, Chordata, Testudines, Geoemydidae. The transcript is spliced from 4 exons.
CUGAGGAAACACAAAGUGAAGGAACCUGUGACAGUAGGUGACACCCUAUAAACAGGGGAUAAUCACUUAUUCCUGUCCAAAAUUACCCUAGAUUAUAUUUUUCAAAAAUUCCUUGGGUUUGGCGUACUCUUUGCUUUUGGGAAAACCAACCAUCUGAAUGUCAUUCUAGUGACAUGCUCUUGCUGAAACCUGUGCUUCCAGACCACGCAUCUUCUCCUCCAAUGUGCCCAGCAGUUUGCCCUUUAUAUACAUGAAAUAUCUUCUGGCAGAAAGGAGAACAUAGCACAUCCAAGCUAGAGUCACAGGAACAGAGGAAUUGUUAUUGCAAAGCCAUGUCCUGUCUUUGAUAGUGGUCAGUUCCAGAUGCUUUCUGAGGACAGUGCAACAAACACAAUAAAGGACAAUUAUGGAAUGAUACACCCACUCAGAAUUUCCACCCUGAUGCCAAUCUCUUGACUUUGCCUCGGAAAAUUUUAUGUCAGAGCGGCCAUGAACAGGGCACCUGCCUGAGCUACCAUCACUUUCUUGAAUGGCCUUGACUGACAGACCAAACACAGAAGAUCUAUAAUGUGUUUAGAGCAAGGUAAGAUGGACACAGUCCGGCAAAGAAGUACUGUAUCUGGGGAGGGAGAAGAGAAGGACUCAGGC